ACGACGACGCCCCGCACAAGGUCCCUCCCUACCCGCCCCUGGUGUCCUUUCUCCUCCAUUCAUUCUUUCUCUGUCCCAUUCCCAAUUGAGUUUUUUUGCUUCGAUUCAGAUCAGCAGGAGCUCUCCGUCUCUCCAGUUCCAUGGACGGUGACGACCGGCACCCCACCCUCGAGCUCGAUAGUGAGAUCGUCCGCCCCGACCACCAUGAUUCCCCACAGAACAAGGUCGACCCUCUCGCUCUGUUUUUCUUUCCUUUCCAAGUGAUUAUUGCUCUUCUCUAGCAUAGUUCUCCAAGGGCUCUCACAUUUUCUUGUACUGAACCAUGAUGCAAAAAACGUGGCUACUUUGUUUUCGCACAUGCAAGUUACAGCCAACUAGCAUUGCGAGCAGCAGCAAUGUAGAAUUUCUGAGAUCUGCGAGUUAGUUAAAGCUGCUAGUUCAAUAAGUAAACGCCUAUGAGAUGCUCCUGUUGGUUCCUUGCUACUCUAUGCACGCAGCAAGGAUGUUAUUGCCAGUGGGGUAGGUGACGAUGCUAUCUGCUAUUUUGCCGAGGAGAAGAGUACCAUGGUAUCUUAUACUUCCACUAAACAUUCAAAUUCUGGCAACUCUUGAUUUAUCUCCAUGGAAUCUACUCCCUCCGUUCCGAAUUACUUGUCUUGAAUUUGUUUAGAUACGGAGGUAUCUAGCACUAAAAUGAGUCUAGAUACGUCCGUAUCUAGACAAAUUCAGGACAAGUAAUUCGGAACGGAGGGAGUACUUAGCUGACCACUUUGUCCAUCUAAUAUUUGUGGCAGAUAGUGGGGCGCGAUGUUCCACCAUGGUUUGUUCAUUUUUUUUUUGUAAAUGCAGUGACCACCCUUAGAGAAUUUUGGAAACAUAAAGUAGUCCCCUCAUUGUACAAUAACACUGUAUUUCACAGUAUUCUUAAAUUUAGGUUGUUAAUACACUCCUCACAUUUUUUCCAUGACAUGGAUAUGUUCAGAAGAGUAAAAUGACCUCAGCAAUGUAAAGUAGAUUAAAAUGGGCAUAAUACUCACGAUUCAUAUACUUUGCAUGACUAGUCCAAUGUCUGCCAGCAAGUGUUGUGUUAUGCAAAUUUCUAGUAAAUGAUGCAAUAAACAAUUUCCUCAUGUUUUAUUGCUAAGCUUUUUGGUAAACUGUCAACAUUGCCUUAGAAUAUUUUUUGUUAAUCUGAUGUGUUUCAAGUAACUAGAAUCGGGGCAAUGAAAGUGCUAGUGCUUUGAAGUUAUGUUCUUCUACAGCUCUGCACAUAUAUUUCUGCGAGUCAUUUCAUUGCUUAAAAAUUUGAAGGAAUGCUAAAUUUAUUACUUGAUGGCUUAUACCUGCACUUAGUGUUAUAUUUCUACAUGCACGUUACUUCUAGAUGCUUGGAGGCAUGAAGUCAUGCUCGAAAUUCCAUAGUGCCUUAACCAUCAAUGGCAACAUAAUUAUCAAAUAAAGUUCACAGAUAAACUUACAAAACACAUCAAGUCUUUGAUGUUUUUGAGCUAGUCCCGUCGCCAGUUUUUUCACUCAAAAUAUGGGGCACGUACACAACUUGUUUCGAGUAGUAGUAUUCUUCUUUUUCCUUUUCAUGUCUUAGCUUAGAAAGACCACUCUAAUGGUAGGUCAACAAAAAGUCUAGCAUAAAAUCUAUAUUGGCCAUAUUGAUUAGUAUUUUUCCUCAAAAUCUGCCUUGCAUACAGUAUACUGACAUGCAAUAGCCACUCCCCACUUCCGGCAAGGUGCUGGAUCUAGCCAGGCCGAUGUGCCGAACAGUUCAUCAAUUAAGAGCUCUGCGCGGUCGCGCGGAUGUGUUAGGGCUGAAGUUUUCCUUCACAGUUUGUAUUCUUGUUGCUUGAAAUCUCCAUCAGGUGCACAGCAACGAAAAAACCUCAAAAAAUAACAGAAUUUUCUUUAGGAAGCAGGCUGCAAAACGUGGGAAAGUGUCCAGUUCAAGAGAAAAUUCCUUAUUUGACACUGUCUUAAAAUCUAGCUCCUUAUUUGACACUGGAAAAGUUUUUCUUUCUUAUUUGACACUAGUCCUAAAUUUUAUUCCCUAUAUGACACUUCCGUCCAUUUUAAGUCUAAAUGACACCUGAAAAGACGAGUUUGCCCCUCAUGCGGUAUGUGUGUGUGUGUGCGCGUGUGUGUUGGUGCGUGUGUGGGUGCACGCGCACAUGUGUGCUGCUGCUGCAUGUGUGUAUGUGCAUGUGUGUUUGCUUCUGCGUGUGUACGUGCGUGUGUGUGUGCUGUUGCGUGCCUAUGUGCUGCCUGCGUGUGUGCUGCUACUGUGUGUGUGCUGCGUGCGUGUGUUGCUGCGUGUGUGUGUGUGUGUGCAUGUGUGUUGCUGCGUAUGUGUGUGUGUGUGUGUGUGUGUGUGUGUGUGCACACGCGCGCGUGUGUGUUGUUGCGUGUGUGUUGGUGCAUGUGUAUGUGUUGCUGCGUGUGUGCUCCUGCCCUCGCACUGAUGCUGUGUGUGUGCGCUAUUGUCCCCACACACAUACCACAUGAGGGACAAAAGAGUCUUUUCAGGUGUUAUUUAGGCUUAAAAUGGAUGGAAAUGUCAUAUAAGUAAUAAAAUUUAGAACUUGUGUCAAAUAGGGAAGAAAGACUUUUCCAGUGUCAAAUAAGGAAGCAGAUUUUAAGAUAGUGUCAAAUAAGGAAUUUUCUCCCAGUUCAAAGCAUUGAUGCAUGCUCUAGUGUCCGUUAUCUAUAAUUUUUUAUUUGUUUAACAAUUCCAUAUCGUUCUCCUAAACGUACAGGUCUCUAUUUUUACCAAACUAAACAAUUGAAAAUUGCGUAUCUUUCUCUUGAACAUACAGGUACAUGCCUUCUUUUGCUGUCAAGUAUCAUUACACAUGAUAAUUAAUACAGAUCUACAUGAAACUUAUACGUAGCAGAUAUUAUGUUAUUCAGUUUUUACAUUUGUUACAAUUCUCUUCUAUUUAUUUAUAUCUAACAUAUCGAAUGGUCUUGUAAAUAUGCUAGGUAUGAUUGCAUAGUGGGCUACUUGGUGGUGCCAAUAACAAUCAACAUGACAUAUGCAUAGUGUCCAUCAGGAGGGCCGACGACAAGAUGAAUAAUAACUUCAGUAGUUUAAUUGUUCUCUUUGUGUGAGCUGGAUUGUACUGUUUCCUAACUUUGUUGAGUGAUAUUUUGUCAACCUAUAUUGUAAAAUUACCAUUUCCUGAAGGAUCUUGUAAACUUCUAUAUUGUAAAUACCUGCGGAUGAUUGCAUAUUGAUUCAUAUAUGUAUGUAUGAAACUUUGAAAAUACUUUGUCUUGG
Molecule: long non-coding RNA, 3289 nt
Filed under: Triticum aestivum (bread wheat)
Lineage: Eukaryota; Viridiplantae; Streptophyta; Magnoliopsida; Poales; Poaceae
Description: long non-coding RNA (TAES_LNC010831)
Rfam family: MIR1120/MIR1122 microRNA precursor family (bases 626-760)
Source: RNAcentral